Molecule: ribosomal RNA, 253 nt
Filed under: uncultured bacterium
Lineage: Bacteria
Description: partial 16S ribosomal RNA
Rfam family: Bacterial small subunit ribosomal RNA
Source: RNAcentral
UACGUAGGGGGCAAGCGUUGUCCGGAAUCAUUGGGCGUAAAGCGCGUGUAGGCGGUUCAGUAAGUCUGCUGUGAAAGUCCAGGGCUCAACCCUGGGAUGCCGGUGGAUACUGCUGGGCUAGAGUACGGAAGAGGCGAGUGGAAUUCCCGGUGUAGCGGUGGAAUGCGCAGAUAUCAGGAGGAACACCAAUAGCGAAGGCAGCUCGCUGGGACGGUACUGACGCUAAGGCGCGAAAGCGUGGGGAGCGAACAGG